ACGUAGGGGGCGAGCGUUAUUCGGAAUUACUGGGUGUAAAGGGUAUGUAGGCGGCCCUUCAAGUCGCGUGUCAAAGUCCAGUGCUCAACGCUGGGUGUGCACUUGAUACUGUCGGUCUUGAGUACUGUAGAGGUAAGCGGAAUUCCCGGUGUAGUGGUGAAAUGCUUAGAGAUCACGCAGAACACCGACGGCGCAGGCAGCUUACUAGUCAGUUUCUGACGCUAAUGUACGAAAGCGUGGGGAUCAAACAG
This 251-nucleotide ribosomal RNA is filed under the name uncultured prokaryote. RNAcentral describes it as "partial 16S rRNA". It matches the Rfam family "Bacterial small subunit ribosomal RNA", at positions 525 to 775 of the family's 1533-position model. The record is from RNAcentral.